Molecule: long non-coding RNA, 1285 nt
Organism: Mustela lutreola (European mink)
Lineage: Eukaryota; Metazoa; Chordata; Mammalia; Carnivora; Mustelidae
Exons: 3
Source: RefSeq, a predicted model, not a curated record
UAUAACAAAUACUACAGACUGGGUGACUUAAACCCCAGACAUUUAUUUUUUCAUCAGACCAUUCUGGAUACUGGGAAGUCAAAGAUCAAGGUGCUGGCAGAUUCAGUUUUUGGUGAAGGCUCUCCUUCUGUCUUGCUCCUGUCUUUCUUCUCACUGUACCCUCGCAUGGCAGGUAAAGAAAGUUUUAGUGUGUCUUCUUCUUAGCACGACACUAAUUUCAUCAUGGCAGCUUCACCUUCAUGACUUCUUCUAACCUAAUCACCUCCCCAAAGCCCCACCUCCUAAUAUCCUUACAUUGGGGGUUAGGAUGUCAUCAUAUGAAUCUUGUGUGUGUUGGGGUCAGGGCACAACAUUCAGCCCAUAAUAGUUAAGGAAUUGACUAUCUGCAGACUGAAUGUGGGCCAUGGGGGAUAGAGUCAGUUGGGAGCUGUUCUAGGUCCUGAGAAGUCCACAUGGCGGCAACAGAGUUGUAAGAGGGGAGGUUGCUAAGUCUGUGUGUGGAAUGGAUGAUGAAAAGCCAGGAGGUGGUGCAGAAAGGAAGGGACAGCGGUCACCUGCAUGAGAUGCCCGCAAGCCCACCAAACCAGCAGGGGAGAAGCUCUAACUCCUGGAGACUGCUGUCAGAGAGGUCCAAUGCAGGGUUAGAAGCAAGCUAAGCAUCAGGAAGUGACAGAACUUCCCUGUGCUCUUCUCUUCACUCAUUCCUCCUGAGCUUUCACAGGUGGGGAAUGUACUGGGAGGAGGGGACCCGCUGGGUAGGAAAUGAGUGGAAAAGAUCAGUUGUCCAUGUUUCUUUCCCUGAACACAGUCAACCUGCCAAAUACUUUCCUCAGCUAGAAGAUGGGGAGAAGCCUGGCCUGAGUCUGAAAUGUUCACGUCUUAGGUUAGACAUUUACAGUUUCCAAAGGAGAGUGCUUUGGACUUAGAAGACUUGAGGACUAAGCGUGAAUAGACCAAAUGAAAAUCUGACCAGUAAUGCCCACUUAUCUACCUCUCUGAAGUACUGGAAGAAUUAAUGAUGGACUGUAAAAUGUACUGAAAAGAAGAGAACACUGAGAUUUGAUGAGUAUUUUUGAUAAGUAUCAACGGUAAUGCCGGGAAUCCUGUUGCCUGGAGACCACUGUUGAAGAACAUCCACUGCCAUGGCCUCGUGGAGAUUUAAGACAUCUAAAAAGGAGCUGAUAGAAAUCAUCAGCUUGCCCCUGAGAAACUAGCAUCUUCUAAAAGUCACAAUAAAGCACUUGUUUGGAUAUUACUUAUUUUGAGUAAUCUUUAUAAUUAAAGU